AUUGAACGCUGGCGGCAUGCUUUACACAUGCAAGUCGAACGGUAACAGGCCGCAAGGUGCUGACGAGUGGCGAACGGGUGAGUAAUGCAUCGGAACGUGCCCAGCCGUGGGGGAUAACUACUCGAAAGAGUAGCUAAUACCGCAUACGAUCUAUGGAUGAAAGCGGGGGACCGUAAGGCCUCGCGCGAUUGGAGCGGCCGAUGUCAGAUUAGGUAGUUGGUGGGGUAAAGGCUCACCAAGCCAACGAUCUGUAGCUGGUCUGAGAGGACGACCAGCCACACUGGGACUGAGACACGGCCCAGGCUCCUACGGGAGGCAGCAGUGGGGAAUUUUGGACAAUGGGCGCAAGCCUGAUCCAGCAAUGCCGCGUGCAGGAAGAAGGCCUUCGGGUUGUAAACUGCUUUUGUACGGAACGAAACGGCUCUGGUUAAUACCCGGGGCUAAUGACGGUACCGUAAGAAUAAGCACCGGCUAACUACGUG
RNAcentral lists this ribosomal RNA (482 nucleotides) under uncultured bacterium. RNAcentral describes it as "partial 16S ribosomal RNA". It matches the Rfam family "Bacterial small subunit ribosomal RNA", at positions 30 to 507 of the family's 1533-position model. The record is from RNAcentral.